Molecule: transfer RNA, 70 nt
Filed under: Marmota monax (woodchuck)
Lineage: Eukaryota; Metazoa; Chordata; Mammalia; Rodentia; Sciuridae
Description: tRNA.Val
Source: RNAcentral
GGGCUGGGGCUCAGUGGUAGAGCACUUGCCUAACAUGCGUGGGGACCUGGGUUGGAUCCUCAGCACCACA